UCUGUAGUGACCGAAUUCUCAUAAGACUUUAUAACAGAAUUAUCCCCUUUCUUUUGCCUUGAUAGUUUUGAUAACUUAAAAAUGUAUCUAACAAAGCUCUUUUAUCCAAAACUGCUUUUACUUUUCCUGACUGUGACGAUUAUACUGCGAUUUCAGCAGUGUAACAAAAGCUCUGCAUGAAAAUAUAAAGACAGCCUCCUUAGAAUAAGCAUUUGGUGUUAUAUAAAAUUCCCAUGUUUCAAAUUGACCAUAACAUUUUACUCAACGGUUAAACAUCUGUCCCUGUUCUUUACUAACCAGCCCAGGAAACAGUCUCCUCACCAGUAAAAGCUCUGACAUGAAGGCUGUUUGCCCGUCUCCUCAGCCUUCAGACAGAACCAUCUCAGUUGGACAGGGGAGUGGGGAAGCGCCCCUCUUUCAAACCAAUGGCUUUGGACAGAGCAUUAAGAGAAUACCUUUGAACCGUAACAUUUACUGUUUUUAUAAAUACUAGGAUUUAAAGCCAGAGAAAAUAAAACUGGGCAGAGGAAGGGGAAAUUUUUAUGGAAAAGAGAAUGCAAAGUACAUUUAUGAUUCAUAAAAGUCUGGCUCAUCUUCAGUGGAACUCAAGUAGAACUGAGAUACAUGCCAGGUGCCGCUGUGUAUGUUGCCGUCUGUCUCAGCUGCCCUGCAGUCGUGCUCUGUCUUUCCCUGCCUGCUGAGCCAUCCCUCAGUCCCAACCCUCGUUACCCCUGAACAUCAAAGAAAAACCAGUGUAGAGCGUGGUGUCCAGAGGCAGUGCUUCUGCCUCUAACUCUGAUCCCAUGGUCUCCAUUAGAAACUUGUAAGGGUGGUGAUCCAGAUACCUCACUCAUGGAUAGAGAAACAGGUUUGUUUCCCCCCAGCUGUGAUCAUUCCCUACAGUACCCUUCACAAACAGAUAAGCGAGAAGGAUCACAAUUGACUAAAGUAGCGGCCAUUUAACAGCAAAAGAUGAAUCUCCAGUCUCAAUAGUUUAGGGUCUGAAAUAUUUCCCAAGCAGUUAAGGAAUAAUGAUGGUCACAAAUACUGCUCAGGGCCUUGGAAGUUUCUUGCUAACGACCAAGGACUUGAAGAUAAUGAUGCUAUCCCCUGCCAAAUCCUGGAGCCACAUCACUGAUGCUUUAUUGUCAACUAGAUCAGAAGAUUUUGGCAGAUCUAAUAAAGUCAGCCUGGA
Molecule: long non-coding RNA, 1195 nt
Organism: Myotis lucifugus (little brown bat)
Lineage: Eukaryota; Metazoa; Chordata; Mammalia; Chiroptera; Vespertilionidae
Exons: 2
Source: RefSeq, a predicted model, not a curated record